CGAAGGUGGCAAGCGUUGUUCGGAUUUACUGGGCGUACAGGGAGCGUAGGCGGUUGGAUAAGCCCUCCGUGAAAUCUCCAGGCUUAACCUGGAAAGUGCAGAGGGGACUGUUCAGCUAGAGGAUGGGAGAGGAGCGCGGAAUUCCCGGUGUAGCGGUGAAAUGCGUAGAGAUCGGGAGGAAGGCCGGUGGCGAAGGCGGCGCUCUGGAACAUUUCUGACGCUGAGGCUCGAAAGCGUGGGGAGCAAACAGGAUUAGAUACCCUGGUAGUCCACGCCUUAAACGAUGGAUACUAAGUGUCGGCGGGUUACCGCCGGCGCCGCAGCUAACGCAGUAAGUAUCCCGCCUGGGAAGUACGGCCGCAAGGUUG
RNAcentral lists this ribosomal RNA (368 nucleotides) under uncultured organism. Its description in RNAcentral is "bacterial SSU rRNA". It matches the Rfam family "Bacterial small subunit ribosomal RNA", at positions 526 to 896 of the family's 1533-position model. The record is from RNAcentral.